This 422-nucleotide ribosomal RNA is filed under the name uncultured bacterium. Its description in RNAcentral is "bacterial SSU rRNA". It matches the Rfam family "Bacterial small subunit ribosomal RNA", at positions 355 to 774 of the family's 1533-position model. The record is from RNAcentral.
UGAGGUAUAUUGGGCAAUGCCCGCAAGGGUGACCCAGCAACGCCGCGUGGAGGAUGAAUGUCGUAAGAUUGUAAACUCCUGUUAGAGGGGAAGAAUAGUACCGGUUGGACCGGUAUAUGACUGUACCCUCAGAGAAAGCCCCGGCUAACUACGUGCCAGCAGCCGCGGUAAUACGUAGGGGGCAAGCGUUGUCCGGAUUUACUGGGUGUAAAGGGCGCGCAGGCGGGAUAAAAAGUCAGUGGUGAAAUCCUACAGCUUAACUGUAGAACUGCCUUUGAUACUUUUAUUCUUGAGUUCGGGAGAGAGAGACGGAAUUCCAGGUGUAGUGGUGAAAUACGUAGAUAUCUGGAAGAACACCAGUUGCGAAGGCGGUCUCUUGGUCCGACACUGACGCUGAGGCGCGAAAGCGUGGGGAGCAAACA